This 579-nucleotide ribosomal RNA is filed under the name uncultured bacterium. RNAcentral's name for it is "bacterial SSU rRNA". It matches the Rfam family "Bacterial small subunit ribosomal RNA", at positions 64 to 636 of the family's 1533-position model. The record is from RNAcentral.
GAGGGGUAACGGAAGUAGCUUGCUACUAGACGACGACCGGCGCACGGGUGAGUAACGCGUAUGUAAUCUGCCUUGUACAGAGGGAUAGCCCAGAGAAAUUUGGAUUAAUACCUCAUAGUAUUACUGAAUCGCAUGAUUUGGUAAUUAAAGCUCCGGCGGUACAAGAUGAACAUGCGUGACAUUAGCUAGUUGGUAAGGUAACGGCUUACCAAGGCUACGAUGUCUAGGGGUUCUGAGAGGAUGAUCCCCCACACUGGUACUGAGACACGGACCAGACUCCUACGGGAGGCAGCAGUGAGGAAUAUUGGUCAAUGGACGCAAGUCUGAACCAGCCAUCCCGCGUGAAGGAUGACUGCCCUAUGGGUUGUAAACUUCUUUUAUAUGCAAAUAAACCUACUUUCGUGAAAGUAGCUGAAGGUAGCAUAUGAAUAAACACCGGCUAACUCCGUGCCAGCAGCCGCGGUAAUACGGAGGGUGUAAGCGUUAUCCGGAUUUAUUGGGUUUAAAGGGUACGUAGGCGGUAAUAUAAGUCAGUGGUGAAAUCCUGCAGCUCAACUGUAAAACUGCCAUUGAAACUGU